This 301-nucleotide ribosomal RNA is filed under the name uncultured bacterium. RNAcentral's name for it is "partial 16S ribosomal RNA". It matches the Rfam family "Bacterial small subunit ribosomal RNA", at positions 509 to 807 of the family's 1533-position model. The record is from RNAcentral.
CAGUAGCCGCGGGAAUACGUAGGGUGCGAGCGUUAAUCGGAAUUACUGGGCGUAAAGCGUGCGCAGGCGGUUUUGUAAGACAGGCGUGAAAUCCCCGGGCUCAACCUGGGAAUGGCGCUUGUGACUGCAAAGCUAGAGUGCGGCAGAGGGGGAUGGAAUUCCGCGUGCAGCAGUGAAAUGCGUAGAUAUGCGGAGGAACACCGAUGGCGAAGGCAAUCCCCUGGGCCUGCACUGACGCUCAUGCACGAAAGCGUGGGGAGCGAACAGGAUUAGAUACCCCCGUAGUCCCUGUCUCUUAUAC